This 921-nucleotide ribosomal RNA is filed under the name uncultured Gemmatimonadota bacterium. Its description in RNAcentral is "bacterial SSU rRNA". It matches the Rfam family "Bacterial small subunit ribosomal RNA", at positions 58 to 981 of the family's 1533-position model. The record is from RNAcentral. Lineage: Bacteria; Pseudomonadati; Gemmatimonadota.
CAAGUCGCACGGGGGUAGCAAUACCCCAGUGGCGAACGGGUGCGUAACACGUGAGGAACAUUCCUUCCGGUGGGGGAUAGCCGGCCUAACGGCCGGGUAAUACCGCAUACGCUGUUCUGGGUGCAUACCCUGGAUCGGAAAGCAGCAAUGCGCCGGAAAGGUGCCUCGCGGCCUAUCAGCUAGUUGGUGAGGUAAUGGCUCACCAAGGCGACGACGGGUAGCUGGUCUGAGUGGAUGAUCAGCCACAUUGGGACUGAGACACGGCCCAGACUCCUACGGGAGGCAGCAGUGGGGAAUCUUGCGCGAUGGCCGAAAGGCUGACGCAGCGACGCCGCGUGUGGGAUGACGGCCUUCGGGUUGUAAACCACUGUCGCAAGGGACGAAUGUCUGACGGUACCUCUGAAGGAACCUUCGGCUAACUCUGUGCCAACAUCCGCGGUAAUACACAGGGUGCAAGCGAUGUCCGGAAUCACUGGGCGAAAMGGGCGCGUAAGCGGCCUGAUAAGUAGGGGGUGAAAUACUGGGGCAUAACCUCAGGGUUGCCUUCUAGACUGUCCGGCUCGAGCACAGUAGAGGCAGGUGGAAUUCCCGGUGUAGCGGUGGAAUGCGUAUAGAUCGGCGAAGAACAUCGGUGGCGAAUGCGGCCUGCUGGCCUGUUGCUGACGCUGUAGGCUGCGACWGCGUGGGCGAGCACACGGGAUUAGAUACCCCUGUUAGAUCCACGUGCGUAAACGAUGGGUACUAGGGUGUCGGGUAGAGCGACGCCCUCGCUGCCCUCGCUAAUGCCGUAAAUAACCCCGCCUGUGCAGUACCGUGCGCAGGGCUGACACUCAGAGUGAAUUGACAGGGGGACUCGCACGAGGCGSUGCAGCAUGCGGUGUUAAUUUGUAAGUCAAACGUGCAGAACCCCUACCCUGAGCC